CCAAUCUGCGGCUGCCCCCCUCCAGUCUCAGGCAUAGCUGCAGCCAUCCCGUAUCUUUAAAGAAUCUGGUGCAUCAGGGGAAUUAGAGGAAAGAUGCUCCUCCUUCCACUGCUUUCUUCAUACUUACUUUCAUAGCAGGAGCCGCUCCCUCCCACCUCCAGAGACUGGAGGCUGCCAUCUUGCUCAUUUAUCACCCACUCCACUUCCUACCAGCCCAGGUGCAAAUACAGAGCUCCAGGUGGCUCCGGUUAAACACAUCCAUCUCACCGAGGUGAAGGGGUCUUCUGUGGUUGGAGCCUGAGGCUUUCACUUACUCAGAGAAGCAGAGACCAGGUAGUGGGUAGGAUCCCGGGCUCUCGUCGGCUACCGACUUCCGCUCUUGGCUCUGCUCCUUGCCAGCUGGAUGACCUGGAGGAAAUGCCAAACUCUCUAAGUUUUCCUAUCUGUAUAGAGGGCCGUUUUAUAACAGAGAUUGCUGGGGGAACGCAGUGAAAGAGAAAAUACACCAUACGGACUUGGCAUCGUGCCUGGCACAGAUGUCUAGGAGCUGUGACCCAGACCCGCGUCCCAGGACAGACUGGAGGUGGAGACAGAAAUGAGUGCUCACGUACACCUGCUCUAAGGAUGAGAGCAGAGGUUGAUGGGAAGUAGGCCACAGAACAGACCCCCAACUGGACACAACUGAGGCAGCCAGACUCAACCUCCAGGCCCUGCCCCUGAACUGCUGAAAUCAUGUGGAGAAGAAAGUUAGACAAGUGGGGCCAUGUAAGGCCCUGACCUGGACUGAACUUUGAGAUCUCCCAGGAUGUGGUGGACCCCUGGCAAAGACACAGACGAGGAAGCUGAGGAUCUGAGAGGAUAAGCCGAGACUUCGUUGAGUGGAUUCUAGAAGCAUCAGAAGCCUAAAUUCACCAGGCUCCUUUCGGCGUCCGUAAACUGGAUAGAUUCCCAUUGUGAGGCAACCACCAAGAGCCUGAAAACGUAGUACCGGCUGACGGAGGGUUACGUUGUACAGCAAGCAAAGGGAGUCAAAUCAAGGAAGGAGAGCUAACGGACUUCACUUGUGCCAGGCACCGUAGCUCUUUGUAUGUCUUCCCUCAUUUGAACCUCACAAGGGUCUUCUGAGCUGUGCUUGGCAUUUGCUACGCGGAGGUUGGCGUGGGGAGGCGUACCGUGGAGACACUGAGACCAGAUGCCUGAAUUUAACAGGUCUAUGGCUCAUUUGAGGAGAACGAGGACAAGUCGCAACAAACAAAACAAGGCAAGAGAGAGCGAGAGCGGUUGGGGAAGCAGCCACCAACUCUCACUCCAGAUGAAAGCUGCUUCAGAGGGAGGUAUCUGAUGCACAACUCUUCGCAAGCAGGUGGUCAGAGGAUUACCUGCAGAAAACCUCUUGGAAAACUGAGUUGCUGUGCACGUGCAGAUUUCCCCACGGGGCCCUUUUUGCGGCAUUCUUUUCCUGUACAGAAGUCACAAUGAAGUAUCCUUUGCACACAUCUCGUUCACC
Molecule: long non-coding RNA, 1507 nt
Organism: Acinonyx jubatus (cheetah)
Lineage: Eukaryota; Metazoa; Chordata; Mammalia; Carnivora; Felidae
Exons: 6
Source: RefSeq, a predicted model, not a curated record